AAACUAAGCAUAUCAAUAAGCGGAGGAAAAGAAACUACCAAGGAUUCCCCUAGUAACUGCGAGUGAAGCGGGAAAAGCUCAAAUUUGAAAUCUGGCGGUUCCUUGGACCUGUCCGAGUUGUAAUCUAGAGAAGUGUUACCUGUGCUGGACCGUGUACAAGUCUCCUGGAAUGGAGCAUCACAGAGGGUGAGAAUCCCGUCUUUGACACGGACUGCCUGUGCGAUAUGGUGCGCUCUCGAAGAGUCGAGUUGUUUGGGAAUGCAGCUCAAAAUGGGUGGUAAAUGCCAUCUAAAGCUAAAUAUUGGCGAGAGACCGAUAGCGAACAAGUACCGUGAGGGAAAGAUGAAAAGAACUUUGGAAAGAGAGUUAAACAGUACGUGAAAUUGCUGAAAGGGAAACGCUUGAAGUCAGUCACGUCGGCUAGAAAUCAACCUUGCUCUUGCUUGGUGUACUUUCUGGUUGACGGGUCAGCAUCAAUUUUGACCAUUGGAUAAAGUCAGUGGGAAUGUGGCAUCCUUAGGAUGUGUUAUAGCCCGUUGUUGCAUACAGUGGUUGGGAUUGAGGAACUCAGCACGCCGCAAGGCCGGGUCUCUUUUGACCACGUCCGUGCUUAGGAUGCUGGCAUAAUGGCUUUAAUCGACCCGUCUUGAAACACGGACCAAGGAGUCUAACAUGCCUGCGAGUGUUUGGGUGGAAAACCCAUGCGCGAAAUGAAAGUGAAAGUUGAGAUCCCCCUUAACAAGGGAGCAUUGACGCCCGGACCAGACCUUUUGUGACGGAUCCGCGGUAGAGCAUGUAUGUUGGGACCCGAAAGAUGGUGAACUAUGCCUGAAUAGGGUGAAGCCAGAGGAAACUCUGGUGGAGGCUCGUAGCGAUUCUGACGUGCAAAUCGAUCGUCAAAUUUGGGUAUAGGGGCGAAAGACUAAUCG
This 929-nucleotide ribosomal RNA is filed under the name Inocybe hypophaea. Its description in RNAcentral is "partial large subunit ribosomal RNA". It matches the Rfam family "Eukaryotic large subunit ribosomal RNA", at positions 31 to 937 of the family's 3401-position model. The record is from RNAcentral. Lineage: Eukaryota; Fungi; Basidiomycota; Agaricomycetes; Agaricales; Inocybaceae.